UCCAAAUGAAUUUCAUGAUUGCUUUUUCUAUUUCUAUGAAGAAUGACAUUGGGAUUUUAAUAGGAAUUGCAUUAAGUCUGUAUAACUCUUUUGGUAGCAGGCCCAUUUUGACAAUAAUAAUUCUGCCUAUCCAAGAGCAUUGGAGAUCUUCAAUUUCUUUCUUUAGUCUUCUGUAGUUUUCAUUGUAGAGGUCUUUCAUCUCUUUUGAUUCCUAAGUAUUUUUUUGAGGCUAUUGCAAAUGGGAUAGAUUUCCUAAUUUCUCUUUCAGUGAAUUCAUCACUGAUAUAUAGGAAUAGGUUAGAUUUAUGCAUGCUGAUUUUAUAUUCUGCUAUUUUGAUGAAUUCAUUGAUGAUUUCUAGAAGUUUUCUGGUGGACAUUUUUGGAUCUUCUAAAUAUAGAAUUUCUGUUCUCAGCAAAUAGUGAUAGUUUGAGUUCUUCUUUUCCUAUUUGUAUCCCUUUGAUUUCUUAUGACAAUCUAAGUGCUCUGGCUAGAGUUUCCAGGAUUAUGUUGAAUAGAAGUGGUGAAAGAGGGAUCCUUGUCUUAUUCUAGUUCUUAGAGAAAAUGCUUUUAAUUUUUCUCCUGUUAGAAGACAUUGGCCUUGGGUUGGGGUUGUAUCUCAGUGGUAGAGCACUUGCCUCACAUGUGUGAGGCACUACUUCAAUCCUCAGCACCACAUAAAAAUAAAUAAGUAAAAUAAAGAUUUUUUUAAAAAGAUGAUGUUGG
Molecule: long non-coding RNA, 724 nt
Filed under: Marmota monax (woodchuck)
Lineage: Eukaryota; Metazoa; Chordata; Mammalia; Rodentia; Sciuridae
Source: RNAcentral